RNAcentral lists this long non-coding RNA (1287 nucleotides) under Canis lupus familiaris (dog). Its description in RNAcentral is "lncRNA (ENSCAFG00040014409.1)". The record is from RNAcentral. Lineage: Eukaryota; Metazoa; Chordata; Mammalia; Carnivora; Canidae.
UCCCAUCCCCGCCGCGUCCUCGGCUGUCCUCACCUGCGGGAUGUGCCUGGGCUAGUCCCAUCCCCGCCGCUGACAUUCCUCCCGCUCCCAGGGACACCCCUCCCCGCAGGUGUACCCGGUGCCCUCGGCUCACCCGGGCUUCAGACGGCCCCAGUGCUCUGGUGCUCUGGUUCUGGGAACAGGAGGGGUCCUGAGGCCCCCGGCCAUUUGGUGUGGGCCCGCACCCCGCUCCCCCCGCCAAACCCGCUGUCGUCUGGGCCCCCCUCCACGGCGGGUCCCAGCUCAAGGGGAGGGGCCACCCCAGCCCUAGGCUGCCCUCGGGGGUCACCCCGCCCUGCCCGGCCUCCAGCCACCUCCUCUCCCGUUUCCACCGGAGACUGCCCGUGUGGACCUGGCCUGCCGUGUGGACCUGGCCUGCCGUGGGCGCGCAGUGUGGCCCGUGAGGGGGUGGGGCCGGCGGUGGCGCCGUCGGGGAGCCCUCCCGGCCAGGCCCGCGCCCUCCGCAGCAGCCCAGGCACAGACCUGGCGGGGGAUGGCGCGACGUCACGCCGCACCUGCCAGCUCCGCGGGGCCGCGGUGGGGGGCGUCUGGGCCCCGGGCAUCCCAGGACCAGCCCUGCGGGAGGGGCACCGUGCGCCCUCGUGGCCCCACCCACCUCACCUGUCGGGCCGUACCUGCGGGGGGGGGGGGGGGGCGGUGCAAGGUGACUCAGCGGGCAGCGCGGUGGGGGAAGGGAGCGCCCGGGGCCUGAACCGGGCGGGGGGUGGGGUGGGGAGAGCUUCGCGAGCGUGGGGGGGGCAGACACGACCUGGUUUCCAGCGCGGGCCUCUCAGAGCCCUUCAUACCCACCUGCGCCGCGGCCUGCGGCCGGGACCCCACAAGGCACACGGGGCGAGGCCGGCGCGGUGUCCCCGACGCCACGGGCCUGGGCCUGGACCUGGACGGACAGCGCGCUCGCCUGCUUCCCUCCUCCCCUCCCUCCUCCCCUCCCUCCUCCCCUCCCUCCUCCCCUCCCUCCCUCCAUCCACUCGCUCCUCCGCGGGCGCAGCUGCGUCCCCGGCCUCGGAGGGUCGCGGGGAGGCGCACGCUCGGCCCCCCCACCCCUCCCCGGGCAGGGAAGCUCGCCGGCGACGCGGGGUCCUCGGGAGCGCCCCUCCGGCCUGGCGAGCCCCCGCCCGUGCCACGCGCCCCCGCCCGCCGCAGCCCCCGGGCCUGGAGCGCCCGCGGCCCGCAGCCUUCCGCGGGGCCCGGCCCACCCCCAGCCCGGCCCGAGCUUCCGCGUGCUGA